GCCAGGUGUGGUGGUGGGCACCUGUAGUCCCAGCUACUGUGGGGGCUGAGGCAUGAGGAUUACUUGAGCCCAGGAGGUUGAGGCUGCAGUGAGCCAAGAUCCUGCCACUGCACUCCAGCCUGGGCAACAGAGUGAGAACCUGUCUCCA
This 148-nucleotide non-coding RNA is filed under the name Gorilla gorilla gorilla (western lowland gorilla). Lineage: Eukaryota; Metazoa; Chordata; Mammalia; Primates; Hominidae. The record is from Rfam by way of RNAcentral.